AUAAAGGCUUUGAAAAGGAAGAGUAAGUAAUUACUAUUUUAAAGAGAGAGAAAUUUUAGCUGAAAGUUUCUUAAAUGUGUAUUAUUGAAAACCACCUUUGAGCUGAGUGCUGAACUGUUUAGUAAGCAUCUCCGUAUAUCUGCGUUAUUGAUUUGAGUGAAAAGAAGAUAAUAUAACUUCUUUUAAUUUGGGUGGAAGCACGGUAACUCGUCCCUUUG
This 218-nucleotide non-coding RNA is filed under the name Clostridium felsineum. RNAcentral describes it as "Clostridium roseum T-box sequence". It matches the Rfam family "T-box leader". From Rfam's summary of the family: Uncharged tRNA acts as the effector for transcription antitermination of genes in the T-box leader family. Lineage: Bacteria; Bacillati; Bacillota; Clostridia; Eubacteriales; Clostridiaceae. The record is from RNAcentral.